CAGCUCUUCCUUUGCAGUAGUUUUCACAUUUCUUUGGAAGAGUCCAGCAGCUCAUAAGUAAGGUGAACGCCAUGGAAAGUCGAAUUAGGCAACCGGAUGUGUCCCAAACCACUGCCAGUAAUAGAUAAGCCACAACUAGAUGAAGAACUAUAAGUCCUAUGAUAUGUCUGAAAGCGAUACUAUGCUGUUUUCUGAUCUUGCGAAGUGGUCCAACUUGAAGGAGUGUUUCCCAUUUCCUGGAAAUCUACUGAGUGCCUCUUUUGGACUGGGGAAAAAAAUCUCAACUCGAAUGCCUUACCUAAUCUGAAUUCCGAAAACCCAAUGGGGACUCCUGAAGGAAAAAAACCCCGCUUAUGCCCCACAUUUCCUUUCCUGAAGUCGUUUACCUAACUUAUGGCAAACAGAUACAAACAAACAAAAACACAGCAAAAAUGAAAGGAAAAUGCCAACAACGGAAAAUUCGAUUUAGCAUCCCCCAGAAAAUAAAUAUAAAACCAAACACUUUACAGGGCAGUGAAAAAUAUUCAACGCAUUAGGGCAAAUCCGGGCUAAAAUAUGCAAUGGCCAAUGGCCGCCGCAGGUAAAAAUGACAGCCGAAAAAAAUCAGUAGCAAAAAUAACAAGAACAAAAAACUGUCAGGCAUUGACCGAAAAUUAUGCAUAAAAUUGCCUGGGGCUACGGGAAAAUAACCAACGAAAAAAUUGGAGCAAACAAAGAUAAGUUCCGCCGUCUGUUGGUUUGGGCUUGCCUUGAGUUCCAGCUCCGGAUCCGGAUACGCCUUCGACCCCCGGCGCCCCUCUCCCAAUUUGCCGCGGGCCCAUUAAAUGACGGAACCAAGAGACACGGGCACUGCACAAAAAAUGUCCUUUGAUUAAUCAAAAAAUUUACCACGGCCAGUGGAAUGGGAUAAAACAACAACAGCAAAAGCGAGGGCAGAAAAAAAGAAAACCCAACAAAUUGCCAAAGAGGCGCCGCCGGUGCUCGGAGGGAUCUUUUGAGUCCAGGACGAGGCGCCAAAGCAAAA
Long non-coding RNA from Drosophila biarmipes, 1024 nucleotides. RefSeq lists it as uncharacterized. Lineage: Eukaryota; Metazoa; Arthropoda; Insecta; Diptera; Drosophilidae. The transcript has 4 exons. The record is from RefSeq and is a predicted model, not a curated record.